GUCCUCAUCCCCGAUGAGCAGCCAUUUCCAACUCAGCGUCCAACUCGCCGCUAUCUAUUACCAUCAUCGCCGUUAUUACCGCCGCUCGUCCACAUCAAAGGCCGCAUCAAAGCCGGCCUCAUCGGGGACGACUUUCACAUGGGAUGAAGAUUUGAUAUAGAUGUUUUCCUUCGCAGCAGCAAACAACAAAGAUGGCUGUUCUUGAGCUCGGCGCUUAUUUUCAUUCCACAAUCAGUUAUCUGCUGCUGGAAGCGUGACGCCCUAGACGCGUUAGGAGACUCAAGCUUUUCCAGAGAGGCCGAGGUUGGAGGGAUGAGUCAGACGGCGAGGAAAACAAAGCAGCAGGCAGGAACCUGCAAGGAUUACGCUCUCAUCUUGUGGAAACCAGACACCGCAACCGGAGCUACUGCAGCCUGCUCACUGACAACAUGCAGUGUGUGUGUGUGUGUGUGUGUGUGUGUGUGUGUGUGUGUGUGUUCGCUUGGCUAACAAGAUUCUCAUUACUAUAAAAAAUGAGAACUGUAGCUAAAUUGGACACUGAGACGAUUAAAAAGCAACAAAUGUGUGUGUUUGGUAAAAGAAAAUCACUUUCAAGCUUUUGGGGUAAAAAACGGCUUCUUCUUUAAAGUCGAUGAUAAUUUAAUAAUAUAAACAUGCGUUUGAUGGUCACAUGAAGUGAAACCUCGGCGAUGUCUGUGAAUGCUUAGUGGGAGUAACGGAGAUACAGUAAUUGAUGCCCUUUCUCUCCUUAAACGUUGGGUGCAUAAUCCUUGUCUCCGACGUCAGAAAGAACAAUACAAAACGCACCAACAUCCAAUCUUCACGAACCUCCGAGACAAUAAACCUUUGUGGAAAUCUC
Molecule: long non-coding RNA, 859 nt
Organism: Betta splendens (Siamese fighting fish)
Lineage: Eukaryota; Metazoa; Chordata; Actinopteri; Anabantiformes; Osphronemidae
Exons: 2
Source: RefSeq, a predicted model, not a curated record